RNAcentral lists this long non-coding RNA (609 nucleotides) under Rattus norvegicus (Norway rat). RNAcentral describes it as "long non-coding RNA NONRATT001097". Lineage: Eukaryota; Metazoa; Chordata; Mammalia; Rodentia; Muridae. The record is from RNAcentral.
CAACACUGAGAACCUGGGCAUCUGCCCAGGGGAUGUCAUUUAACAGGAAGAGACAUCCUUACAUGGUCUUGGUCUUGGGGAAAAUGACAGUUAAAGUCCUAAGGGCUGUGAGUUGUUCUGGGAUCUGGCUUCUCUAGGAACAUGACCAUCCGCCAUGACGGAUUCCUGGUAUUAGUUCUUUACCUCACCCAGUGCCCAUCAAUUCUGUACUUCUCUUUCACAACAAUGAAGAGAAUGACUGAGUGGUCAGGGUCACAACAUGGAGGUCCAGGGAGAGCUGGAGUCCCAUGGGAGGAAGAUGUCCCUUUGAGGAUCAGCUUUAGGGACACUAGUCUGUGUGCGGAGCCCCUAUUAAAGCUGCCUGUGCAGAUCUAGAGAUUAACGUGGUUUUUGCUUGUUUUUCUCUUGGCCCUCAGGAGAAGCAGAAGUUUUUGGGUCAGAAUUAUUACAAGGAGGGACCGGAGGGCAAUGACAUCCGAAAGACAAAUGUUGCACAGAUCCGGAUGGCUUUCCGCUACGAGACCCUGUGUAACGAGCUCAGCUUUCUGUCCGAUGCCAUGAAGUCAGAGGAGAUCACAGCCCUGGCCGACUAGGCCCAGCGAUCCACAC